AUCCAAUCAGUGUAUAUUAUCGACGGUGACCAUCACAGCCACUUCGGGCCAUCAUCAUCGGUCUGAGAAAAUGACAAAGCCCUCAUCUUUCAUAUGUCGCUCAGUUUCUUCGACGGCAGCCUCCCAAGUCUCCUCUUCUAUCAGAAAAGGAAAAUAACAAGAGCAUUCAUAGGAGUCAUCGAAGGGGACUGAAUCCUCGCCACUUUUAUCGAUGGGGACAUCAUCAUUGCCACUCCCUUCGUACUCUGCACUCCAACCUUCAGAACCACCGCAUAUCCAGUAUGGAUCUGUCGUAGUUUUACCGGGGUGGUUGGAAUAGAUAA
RNAcentral lists this long non-coding RNA (323 nucleotides) under Salvia miltiorrhiza (redroot sage). RNAcentral describes it as "long non-coding RNA (SMIL_LNC009022)". The record is from RNAcentral. Lineage: Eukaryota; Viridiplantae; Streptophyta; Magnoliopsida; Lamiales; Lamiaceae.